RNAcentral lists this ribosomal RNA (481 nucleotides) under uncultured bacterium. RNAcentral's name for it is "partial 16S ribosomal RNA". It matches the Rfam family "Bacterial small subunit ribosomal RNA", at positions 28 to 507 of the family's 1533-position model. The record is from RNAcentral.
GAUGAACGCUGGCGGCGUGCUUAACACAUGCAAGUCGAACGAAGCAUUUAGGACAGAUUACUUCGGUUUGAAGUUCUUUAUGACUGAGUGGCGGACGGGUGAGUAACGCGUGGGUAACCUGCCUUGUACUGGGGGAUAGCAGCUGGAAACGGCUGGUAAUACCACAUAAGCGCACAAUGUUGCAUGACAUGGUGUGAAAAACUCCGGUGGUAUAAGAUGGACCCGCGUCUGAUUAGCUAGUUGGUGAGAUAACAGCCCACCAAGGCGACGAUCAGUAGCCGAACUGAGAGGGUGACCGGCCACAUUGGGACUGAGACACGGCCCAGACUCCUACGGGAGGCAGCAGUGGGGAAUAUUGCACAAUGGAGGAAACUCUGAUGCAGCGACGCCGCGUGAGUGAAGAAGUAAUUCGUUAUGUAAAGCUCUAUCAGCAGGGAAGAUAGUGACGGUACCUGACUAAGAAGCUCCGGCUAAAUACGUG